RNAcentral lists this ribosomal RNA (856 nucleotides) under uncultured bacterium. RNAcentral's name for it is "bacterial SSU rRNA". It matches the Rfam family "Bacterial small subunit ribosomal RNA", at positions 31 to 896 of the family's 1533-position model. The record is from RNAcentral.
UGCCGGUCGCUGGCGUGGAUAGGCAUGCAGUCGAGCGGCAGCAGGCCCGCAAGGGCGCUGGCGAGCGGCGAAAGGGAGAGUAACGCGCGGGUACCUACCCUCGGGACCGGGAUAGCUGCGGGAAACUGCAAUUAAUACCGGAUAAUGUCCCAGGACCAAAGGUGUGAUUCCGCCUGAGGAGGGGCCCACGUCCUAUCAGCUUGUUGGUGAGGUAACGGCUCACCAAGGCUUCGACGGGUACGGGGUGUGAGAGCAUGCCCCCGCUCACUGGGACUGAGACACUGCCCAGACACCUACGGGUGGCUGCAGUCGAGAAUCUUCCGCAAUGGGCGAAAGCCUGACGGAGCGACGCCGCGUGCGGGAUGAAGGCCUUCGGGUUGUAAACCGCUGUCAGAGGGGAACAAAUCCAUGGGGGUUCUCCCCUAUGGUUGAGUGAUCUUCAGAGGAAGCGCAGGCUAAGUCCGUGCCAGCAGCCGCGGUAACACGGACUGCGCGAACGUUAUUCGGAAUUACUGGGCUUAAAGCGUCCGUAGGCGGCCGUGCAGGUGGGGUGUGAAAUCCCUCGGCUCAACCGAGGAAUUGCGCUCCAAACCAUACGGCUUGAGAGAGAUAGAGGUGAGCGGAACUCACGGUGGAGCGGUGAAAUGCGUUGAUAUCGUGAGGAACACCGGUGGCGAAAGCGGCUCACUGGGUCUCUUCUGACGCUGAGGGACGAAAGCUAGGGGAGCGAACGGGAUUAGAUACCCCGGUAGUCCUAGCUGUAAACGAUGAGCACUAGAUCGGGGAGACCUCCACAUCUUCCUGGUCGUAGCGAAAGUGUUAAGUGCUCCGCCUGGGGAGUAUGGUCGCAAGGCUG